RNAcentral lists this ribosomal RNA (710 nucleotides) under Salmonella enterica. RNAcentral's name for it is "bacterial SSU rRNA". The record is from RNAcentral. Lineage: Bacteria; Pseudomonadati; Pseudomonadota; Gammaproteobacteria; Enterobacterales; Enterobacteriaceae.
AAAUUGAAGAGUUUGAUCAUGGCUCAGAUUGAACGCUGGCGGCAGGCCUAACACAUGCAAGUCGAACGGUAACAGGAAGCAGCUUGCUGCUUUGCUGACGAGUGGCGGACGGGUGAGUAAUGUCUGGGAAACUGCCUGAUGGAGGGGGAUAACUACUGGAAACGGUGGCUAAUACCGCAUAACGUCGCAAGACCAAAGAGGGGGACCUUCGGGCCUCUUGCCAUCAGAUGUGCCCAGAUGGGAUUAGCURGUUGGUGAGGUAACGGCUCACCAAGGCGACGAUCCCUAGCUGGUCUGAGAGGAUGACCAGCCACACUGGAACUGAGACACGGUCCAGACUCCUACGGGAGGCAGCAGUGGGGAAUAUUGCACAAUGGGCGCAAGCCUGAUGCAGCCAUGCCGCGUGUAUGAAGAAGGCCUUCGGGUUGUAAAGUACUUUCAGCGGGGAGGAAGGUGUUGURGUUAAUAACCGCAGCAAUUGACGUUACCCGCAGAAGAAGCACCGGCUAACUCCGUGCCAGCAGCCGCGGUAAUACGGAGGGUGCAAGCGUUAAUCGGAAUUACUGGGCGUAAAGCGCACGCAGGCGGUCUGUCAAGUCGGAUGUGAAAUCCCCGGGCUCAACCUGGGAACUGCAUUCGAAACUGGCAGGCUUGAGUCUUGUAGAGGGGGGUAGAAUUCCAGGUGUAGCGGUGAAAUGCGUAGAGAUCUG